RNAcentral lists this ribosomal RNA (465 nucleotides) under Vreelandella stevensii. Its description in RNAcentral is "partial 16S ribosomal RNA". It matches the Rfam family "Bacterial small subunit ribosomal RNA", at positions 338 to 795 of the family's 1533-position model. The record is from RNAcentral. Lineage: Bacteria; Pseudomonadati; Pseudomonadota; Gammaproteobacteria; Oceanospirillales; Halomonadaceae.
CCUACGGGAGGCAGCAGUGGGGAAUAUUGGACAAUGGGCGAAAGCCUGAUCCAGCCAUGCCGCGUGUGUGAAGAAGGCCUUCGGGUUGUAAAGCACUUUCAGUGGGGAAGAAAGUCUUGGGGCUAAUACCCUCGAGGAAGGACAUCACCCACAGAAGAAGCACCGGCUAACUCCGUGCCAGCAGCCGCGGUAAUACGGAGGGUGCGAGCGUUAAUCGGAAUUACUGGGCGUAAAGCGCGCGUAGGCGGUCUGAUAAGCCGGUUGUGAAAGCCCCGGGCUCAACCUGGGAACGGCAUCCGGAACUGUCAGGCUAGAGUGCAGGAGAGGAAGGUAGAAUUCCCGGUGUAGCGGUGAAAUGCGUAGAGAUCGGGAGGAAUACCAGUGGCGAAGGCGGCCUUCUGGACUGACACUGACGCUGAGGUGCGAAAGCGUGGGUAGCAAACAGGAUUAGAUACCCGAGUAGUC